GACGAACGCUGGCGGCGUGCUUAACACAUGCGAGUCGAACGGAAAGGCCCUGCUUUUGUGGGGUGCUCGAGUGGCGAACGGGUGAGUAACACGUGAGUAACCUGCCCUUGACUUUGGGAUAACUUCAGGAAACUGGGGCUAAUACCGGAUAUGAGCUCCUGCUGCAUGGUGGGGGUUGGAAAGUUUCGGCGGUUGGGGAUGGACUCGCGGCUUAUCAGCUUGUUGGUGGGGUAGUGGCUUACCAAGGCUUUGACGGGUAGCCGGCCUGAGAGGGUGACCGGCAACAUUGGGCAUGAGAUACGGCCCAGACUCAGACGGGAGGAAGGAGUGGGGAAUAUUGCACAAUGGGCGGAAGCAGGAAGCAGCAACGCCGCGUGCGGGAUGACGGCCUUCGGGUUGUAAACCGCUUUCGCCUGUGACGAAGCGUGAGUGACGGUAAUGGGUAAAGAAGCACCGGCUAACUACGU
This 467-nucleotide ribosomal RNA is filed under the name uncultured bacterium. RNAcentral describes it as "partial 16S ribosomal RNA". It matches the Rfam family "Bacterial small subunit ribosomal RNA", at positions 28 to 506 of the family's 1533-position model. The record is from RNAcentral.